ACUCCUACGGGAGGCAGCAGUAGGGAAUCUUCCGCAAUGGACGAAAGUCUGACGGAGCAACGCCGCGUGAGUGAUGAAGGCUUUCGGGUCGUAAAACUCUGUUGUUAGGGAAGAACAAGUGCUAGUUGAAUAAGCUGGCACCUUGACGGUACCUAACCAGAAAGCCACGGCUAACUACGUGCCAGCAGCCGCGGUAAUACGUAGGUGGCAAGCGUUAUCCGGAAUUAUUGGGCGUAAAGCGCGCGCAGGUGGUUUCUUAAGUCUGAUGUGAAAGCCCACGGCUCAACCGUGGAGGGUCAUUGGAAACUGGGAGACUUGAGUGCAGAAGAGGAAAGUGGAAUUCCAUGUGUAGCGGUGAAAUGCGUAGAGAUAUGGAGGAACACCAGUGGCGAAGGCGACUUUCUGGUCUGUAACUGACACUGAGGCGCGAAAGCGUGGGGAGCAAACAGGAUUAGAUACCCUGGUAGUCCACGCCGUAAACGAUGAGUGCUAAGUGUUAGAGGGUUUCCGCCCUUUAGUGCUGAAGUUAACGCAUUAAGCACUCCGCCUGGGGAGUACGGCCGCAAGGCUGAAACUCAAAGGAAAUGACGGGGGCCCCCACAAGCGGUGGAGCAUGUGG
This 619-nucleotide ribosomal RNA is filed under the name uncultured bacterium. RNAcentral describes it as "bacterial SSU rRNA". It matches the Rfam family "Bacterial small subunit ribosomal RNA", at positions 335 to 944 of the family's 1533-position model. The record is from RNAcentral.